UCAGGAUGAACGCUAGCUACAGGCUUAACACAUGCAAGUCGAGGGGCAGCAUUGGGAUAGCUUGCUAUUCAGAUGGCGACCGGCGCACGGGUGAGUAACGCGUAUCCAACCUUCCUGCCAGUAGGGAACAGCCCGGCGAAAGUCGGAUUAAUGCCCUAUGUUCUUCAAUGCGGACAUCUAAGUUGAAGGAAAGAUUCAUCGCUGGCAGAUGGGGAUGCGUCCGAUUAGCUUGCCGGCGGGGUAACGGCCCACCGGGGCGACGAUCGGUAGGGGUUCUGAGAGGAAGGUCCCCCACACUGGUACUGAGACACGGACCAGACUCCUACGGGAGGCAGCAGUGAGGAAUAUUGGUCAAUGGGCGUAAGCCUGAACCAGCCAAGUAGCGUGCAAGGAUGACGGCCCUACGGGUUGUAAACUGCUUUUAUGCGGGGAUAAAGUGCGGCACGUGUGCCGCUUUGCAGGUACCGCAUGAAUAAGGACCGGCUAAUUCCGUGCCAGCCGCCGC
Molecule: ribosomal RNA, 505 nt
Filed under: uncultured bacterium
Lineage: Bacteria
Description: bacterial SSU rRNA
Rfam family: Bacterial small subunit ribosomal RNA
Source: RNAcentral